Long non-coding RNA from Aphis gossypii (cotton aphid), 2363 nucleotides. RefSeq lists it as uncharacterized. The record is from RefSeq and is a predicted model, not a curated record. NCBI's taxonomy places the organism in Eukaryota, Metazoa, Arthropoda, Insecta, Hemiptera, Aphididae. The transcript is spliced from 4 exons.
CGCGCGCCGCAAAACUCGCACAAAAUUCGACGACGUUGACGCGCGCGCGCGCUCUCCGACUCCGGACGACGUCGGUUUGUGGACUCGCGUAGGACGGGGUGGGGAACGGCCGAGGAGACGAAAUUAGAAAACCGUCGACGUGAGGAUGCCGUCGUCGGACGGUUUUUGAUCGAGCUGUAGCCGUCCGCGAGAAGCACGGAGUUGAACAACGUGUAUUGUUAUGAUUACACGUGUAACGUGCUAGCGCGGGGCGAAUUACAGGGACCGAGAAGUAUGAACUACAAAAAUGUGGGGUGACUAGUGUUAAGACUACGGGCGAUAAUGUCAAAUAAUAUUAUGUCGUCGACGAGCGGGAGAGCGAACUUUAGUGCAAAACAACGUCCGUCUACGGUCGUACGACACCGCCGUAGGACGUGUUUGUGUGUGUGUUACAAACUUACAACGGUACAAGUCGUACGGCUGUUGUACACGAGCGGACAGCGGCGUACGCGCAAGAGCGCCGGUCGCGAAAAUUAAUUUUGACCCAGUGCCGCCCGCUCAGACGCCGCCGAAUUGUGAGUGGCGCGCCGUAAUAAUGCUGGCGCCGGUGACACUGCAGUAAAACCACCGACGCGGGACGUUUGGCACAUUUUUCUUUUUUUAAUUUUUUUUUUUUUAUAAAAUUUCCAUCCCACACGGCCUCGAUGUCGUAUGUCCGUUCGUUUGAGUCGAGGGGUGCGGGUGACGCGACGCUAUUUAUUGACUAUUGAUACAAUAUUGAAAAAUAACAAUUUUCCGAGAAAAAAAUUCACUAGAAAAAGAAAUUAACUAGUUACUACUUGAAACAGCUACAACAACAAUUAUUCAAAUCUCCACAACACAAAUCAAAUAAGUUCUGCAGUAUUGUAUUUACUAUAAUAAAUUAUUGAUUUAAAAAGAAGAAUUUUGAGUGAUUUAACACUAAUGUACGAUGAAGAACUAACAAGGAUCAACGAUAUGAUUGAUAUAGGGAUGUGCUAGAGUCUCUUAGAAGAUUAUGAUCUAUUUGAAAAAACUCACGCCUUUCAAACUCAACAUAGAUAACCUAAUAACCUUGUAACCCCAUUGUAAUAGAAAUUCAACUAAGAAAUACAAAUAUACAAUUAAAUAGAAGUGGUUGAAUUUGAAGUGUAUGCACAAGUAUAUUUCUAGUUAUUAUCUCCUACUUCUAUUUAUAGUAUUGUUUGUUAUGACAUGUGAAUGAACAUUAAAUAUGAGUGAAUAUUUUAUGUUUAUAAUCAUAUUAUAUUUCUUAUAUUUAUGCUUUGUCCUAGUUUAAUAUUAAUUGUUUAAACAUAUAUGAGUGAAUUUAAUAAACAAUAUAACUAUCUUUCUAUAAGACAAUAAUAUUGCAUUGUACGAUUUUGGUACCUUAAAUUUAUUAUAUAAGUAAAUUAAGUAAUAUAAUAUGUGUGUGAAUUCUUAAUACUUUAAUUUUGAUCAGGAAAUGUUUUUAACAAGUAUGAAUAAUUAUGUAAUAAGUUACUCAAAAUAGUAUAAAUCAUUAGGCAAUAAAAUGUUUGAAAUUUUAAUGGUUUUUUUCUUAAGAGAUAAUAUAUUUUAUACUUGCAAGUGUUAAGGUGUAUUUAUGGAUGUUUAAUGUUUAUAGCAGUCCUGAUAGAAGUAUGAAAUAUGAAGACAUUUAUAUUGAUAAAGAGUAACUGUGUGAAAAUAAAUGUAACUUUAAGUGAAUUUAUAUGUUGUUUAAAUUAAUAUCUUUGUUUAUAAAAUGCACUGACAAACAUUAUAGACAAAAAGGAAAGACAGAUGAACUGAGAGACUUUUUCAGCUUCUAAAAAGCUUUUUUUUUUAAAAAAAAAAAAUGAAGGUCAUGGGCUAUUUCUAUUAUUUUCAUGUGGCCAAUAACCUGUCGUCGGCUGCCGAUAGAAAUAUGAAUUAGUUAAUAUGUAAUAGUAUGGGUAUUUUUGAUUAUUUUGAUUAUUUGUUAAGUCAUACUUGUUAAAUAUUCUGUUUUUAUAUAUUUUUAAAUAUAACUAAUUAACUAUAUUAUUUUGUAAUACAAAUAUAUUAUUUAAGUACUUUACAUAAUAGUUCAUUGGAUAAAGUUAUGUUAUACUUAUAAUAUAUUUAUAUGAUUUAUAUUAAUUUGUCAUAGCCAGCAAAGAAGAGCUUCUAGAGAAACUGUGAUAAUAAUAUCCUACAUUAACUACCUAAUAUAGAUUAUCCCUGUGUUGUCAAUUGGGCAGUCUCUUCGUUCAAGGCGCACACCUGUAAAUUCAAAUAUUAUAUCUUUUCCUUUUUUAUUGUACUAAGAAUGUACAAAUAGUUGAAUUUUUCAAAUAAAAAAAUACUGAGUACUUAACAUUAUCUGAUAUGUAUAUAUA